GAUGAACGCUGGCGGCGUGCCUAAUACAUGCAAGUCGAGCGGAAGGACGAGAAGCUUGCUUCUCUGAUGUUAGCGGCGGACGGGUGAGUAACACGUGGAUAACCUACUUAUAAUACUGGUAUAAUUUCGGGAAACCGGAGCUAACCCCGGAGAAUAUUUUGAACCGCAUGGUUCAAAAGUGAAAGACGGUGUUGCUGUCACUUAUAGAUGGAUCCGGGCUGCAUUAGCUAGUUGGUAGGGUAACGGCUUACCAAGGCGACGAUGCAUAGACGAAGGGAGAGGCUGAUAGGCGACACGGGAACGGGGACAGGGACAAGACUACUACGGGAGGCAGCAGUAGGGAAUCUUCCGCAAUGGGCGAAAGCCUGACGCAGCAACGCCGCGUGUGUGAUAAAGGCCUUCGGAUCGUAAAACUCUGUUAUUAGGGAAGAACAUCUGUGUCCGUAACUGUACACAUCUUGACGGUACCUAAUCAAAAAGCACCGGCUAACUACGUG
Molecule: ribosomal RNA, 497 nt
Filed under: uncultured bacterium
Lineage: Bacteria
Description: partial 16S ribosomal RNA
Rfam family: Bacterial small subunit ribosomal RNA
Source: RNAcentral